RNAcentral lists this ribosomal RNA (475 nucleotides) under Pedobacter sp. RNAcentral's name for it is "bacterial SSU rRNA". It matches the Rfam family "Bacterial small subunit ribosomal RNA", at positions 389 to 861 of the family's 1533-position model. Lineage: Bacteria; Pseudomonadati; Bacteroidota; Sphingobacteriia; Sphingobacteriales; Sphingobacteriaceae. The record is from RNAcentral.
CAGCCAUGCCGCGUGCAGGAUGACUGCUCCCUAUGGGAUUGUAAACUGCUUUUAUCCGGGAAUAAACCUCAUUACGUGUAAUGAGCUGAAUGUACCGGAAGAAUAAGGAUCGGCUAACUCCGUGCCAGCAGCCGCGGUAAUACGGAGGAUCCAAGCGUUAUCCGGAUUUAUUGGGUUUAAAGGGUGCGUAGGCGGCCUGUUAAGUCAGGGGUGAAAGACGGUAGCUCAACUAUCGCAGUGCCCUUGAUACUGAUGGGCUUGAAUGGACUAGAGGUAGGCGGAAUGAGACAAGUAGCGGUGAAAUGCAUAGAUAUGUCUCAGAACACCGAUUGCGAAGGCAGCUUACUAUGGUCUUAUUGACGCUGAGGCACGAAAGCGUGGGGAUCAAACAGGAUUAGAUACCCUGGUAGUCCACGCCCUAAACGAUGAACACUCGCUGUUGGCGAUACACAGUCAGCGGCUAAGCGAAAGCGUU